RNAcentral lists this transfer-messenger RNA (125 nucleotides) under Planctomycetota bacterium. Its description in RNAcentral is "partial transfer-messenger RNA". It matches the Rfam family "transfer-messenger RNA", at positions 236 to 374 of the family's 374-position model. Rfam says of the family: Bacterial tmRNA, also known as 10Sa RNA or SsrA, is named for its dual tRNA and mRNA-like properties. Its role is to liberate the mRNA from a stalled ribosome. The record is from RNAcentral. Lineage: Bacteria; Pseudomonadati; Planctomycetota.
CUUUGCAAUUUGAAUCCACCAGAGUGAACGCGGCAGAGUAAGACUGCCAAAUCAGUUUGCUACGCACGUAGACGCCGGCAUGGAAGGGCUUCGGGACCGGGGUUCAAUUCCCCGCGCCUCCACUA